UAUUGUUUUUUGUCUUCCCAGUCAAAUCCUGUCCUGCCCUCAGAGGAUGAGUUGAGCUCUUCUCCAUCCCCAUCCAUACAUGAUGAGCCUGUCCUGCACUGAAGCCUAUGAACACCUCAACCCCUGUCCUGCACUGAAGUCAAGCCUCUGAAAACCUCAACUCAUGCCUCAAACCCUCAUUGAAUCACUGCUGUGAUCCCUUCCCAGCACUGUGAAGCGAUGUCACUGAGUACUGCCCCUAUAUAUAGGACCUUCCGUGCGAGCAAGGAGGCCUACAGACCCGACUCAGUUACCCCAGCUCUGUCAGCAGGAAUGGGCCAAAAUUCACCCAACUUAUUGUGGGAAGGCUACCCAAAAUGUUUGACCCAAGUUAAACAAUUUAAAGGCAAUGAUACCAAAUACUAAUUGAGUGUAUGUAUGUAAACUUCUGACCCACUGUGAAAAGCUGAAAUAAAUCAUUCUUUCUACUAUUAUUCUGACAGGGAUUUUUUACUAGGAUUAAAUGUCAGGAAUUGUGAAAAACGGAGUUUAAAUGUAUUUGGCUAAGGUGUAUGUAAACUUCCGACUUCAACUGUACAUACCAUUCUCAGCAUCAACAAAACUCUGUCUUGUUAAGUGUGUUCCAGUGUUGGCUGCGCCCACUAAUUGGCCAGACACCUUAAUAGGGUCUGUUUGAAUAGACACAAAUUAACAGCUUUGUAUGCGUAAAAAAACACGGCAUGCUAGCUCCAUCCUGGUGGCGCAUGGACAUUAGAUCAUAAAUUAAAAUCCUACUGAUGCCGUAUCACAAUAAAUCUGUUGCAUGAUUAAAUGAAA
Molecule: long non-coding RNA, 816 nt
Organism: Salvelinus fontinalis (brook trout)
Lineage: Eukaryota; Metazoa; Chordata; Actinopteri; Salmoniformes; Salmonidae
Exons: 2
Source: RefSeq, a predicted model, not a curated record